CACGUAGGGCGCAAGCGUUGUCCGGAAUCAUUGGGCGUAAAGAGCGCGUAGGCGGCCCGGUAAGUCCGCUGUAAAAGUCCAGGGCUCAACCCUGGAAAGCCGGUGGAUACUGUCGGGCUCGAGUCCGGAAGAGGCGAGUGGAAUUCCUGGUGUAGCGGUGGAAUGCGCAGAUAUCAGGAGGAACACCAAUGGCGAAGGCAGCUCGCUGGGACGGUACUGACGCUGAGGAGCGAAAGCGUGGGGAGCAAACAGG
Molecule: ribosomal RNA, 253 nt
Filed under: uncultured bacterium
Lineage: Bacteria
Description: partial 16S ribosomal RNA
Rfam family: Bacterial small subunit ribosomal RNA
Source: RNAcentral